AUGGCAACCCUCUGAUUGGAGAGAAAACAACACACCUUAGAGGCUCCAGUUCAUACAAUAGUACAACCAAUAUACUUUGACUAAAUCACAUGCGUUUAGCUCUUAGAUGUAUAUGUUGGUAUAUGUGCUUAGAUGGAGAAAGGAGCUCAAAUCAAAUUGCCGGACAGUUCUGUGCAUGUUGUCCUAAAAGAUAGGUCCACUUAGAAACAACUAGCAGCAACAUGUACCUUCUGUUAGGUCCACCUAAAUGAGUGACUGAUGAAGGAGAGUUAUUGCUAACAUAAGAUUUUUUUUUUCCUUUUUAGAUCCUUUCCAUCCCAGGACAUUUCCUGCCACAUAGUUCUUUAGAUGGUAAGCUCUCUAAGAACAAUGAUCAAACCUGCAUUAAUUAGCAAAUGAUCCUUGCACAUACUUUACAUGUUAGUGUGCAUUAAUGUGAAUGAGUUGCUCUUUUGUUUUCUCCAGGUUUCAGAAAAUAAAUCUUACCAUGUAGCCAAGGAUCUCCUUGGUCCUUCUUCUGAAUGCAGUUGUUGUAUCACAACUUAAAAAAGAGUCCAUUGAUCUAUAUGAUUUACUGUGGCAACCAAAUUGAGCAGCUUAACAUCAUUCAUCUCAAAGCAAGAAGAUAGUUUGUUGAUGACCGCCAAAUAUUGAAGGAAUGCACAUAUUAAUGUCAAACUUCAAAGCAUUUCCAUUCAAGAGUACUACCAAGAUGCAUUAGAAUCCAUAAAUUAACAAAGCCAGACUGAAAUUAAAAGUUGUUGUAGUUAAUUUUUUCUAGUCUUCCGGUGAGGAUAAGGAGCAAGCUCUUUGACUGGACCAUAUCAAAUCAAGAAGGAAUUACCCCAUGCAAGAUGAUCACAUGUUCAGAUCUACAACCAUGUUUUGGUGUGUUUGAGAAAGAGCAGUACCGUCGUCCUCUUAAAAAGGGCUCAUGAUGAAGCCAGUCGAUUGAAGUGGUCCAUGAUGUUACUCGCCAUUUGGAUUUCUUAGUUCUGUCCUGCGACUUUUAAUGCUUUAUUUCAUCCAUCAGCCAUAUAAAUUAUAGAGUUUCUUCUAUAUUGAGAGGAGAAGAAGAAGAAGAAGAAGAAGAAGAAGAAAAAGAAAGGUUUUUUCCUUAUCAACAAAAGACACAGUAAGAUGAAUAAACAGCUAUAUAUAUAUAUAUAUAUAUAUNNNNNNNNNNNNNNNNNNNNUAUAUAUAUAUAUAUAUAUAUAUAUAUAUAUAUAUAUAUAUAUAUAUAUAUAUAUAUAUCAAACGCAAAACUGCUUAAUGGAAGGGUAGAUCUGAUCCUGCACACUUGCAAACCGCACAUAUGAACCCUAAUCCUAAAUAAUCUAAAUCUUGGCUCCAGAUAAGAGCAAAGGAUUAGUGAAUACAGGUGUAUAACUAAGAGUUGGGAGCAUCUGUUCUCCAUGAAUCAUUUGCAAGGGAAAAGGAACCAUUACCUUCUACAAGCAUGAACUUAAAGGCAGCAAAGCAUCUACCUUAGCGAUGGAGGCAUAUAUAUUUAGCCGCUUGUUUGCUGAUGCAGCAUCAUCAAGAUUCUCAUCGACGACGACGACGGGGCUCCCCGGACGUUCGUGUGAAUCUUGAUGAUGCCGCAGCUGCAAGCACCGGCCGGCUGCUGCUCCGACAAACUGGAACGCAAUUAACCGAGAGAAGAGCGCACCGGAAGCUGUAUACUUCAAGGAAGGCUGCUAUCCCACCCCAAGAUUUGAGUCGAGGAGAUGAAAUAGCGAGAGAAGAGGAAGACAUGAGCACUGCGACAAGUACUGCAGCAUCCCACGCGAGGUGACAUCUGCGGCUGGAGCCUGGAUUUAUGGACCCACAGGCGGAAUCUUGCAGCCUGUUGCAGUGCUCUUUGAGUUGUAUCGAGGCAACACCAGCGACAGAUCCAUUCCCAGGAACCAGCGGGUUUAAAAGCCAGGGCAAAAAAGAGAGAAACAAGGCCUGGAUCGAAACCCUCAUGCACCUGAUCACUUCCCACAACCAAAGAUAAUCCUGUGUUCGGGUGAGAAGGAGGAGUUCCUGUCACCUCCGAAACCUAAUCGACUUCCCACCCGAGACUUACACGUUUCCACCUUAAGAACCACGGUUUGGGGUCUCAGAGGAUAGAAAGAUGAUGGCAACUUCAAAAGUGAGGAGAGAGAGAGAGAGAGAGA
RNAcentral lists this long non-coding RNA (2166 nucleotides) under Musa acuminata (dwarf banana). RNAcentral's name for it is "long non-coding RNA (MACU_LNC007567)". The stretch from base 1520 to 1618 matches the Rfam family "mir-172 microRNA precursor family". Lineage: Eukaryota; Viridiplantae; Streptophyta; Magnoliopsida; Zingiberales; Musaceae. The record is from RNAcentral.